AUUGAACGCUGGCGGCAGGCCUAACACAUGCAAGUCGAGCGGAUGAAGGGAGCUUGCUCCUGGAUUCAGCGGCGGACGGGUGAGUAAUGCCUAGGAAUCUGCCUGGUAGUGGGGGAUAACGUCCGGAAACGGGCGCUAAUACCGCAUACGUCCCGAGGGAGAAAGUGGGGGAUCUUCGGACCUCACGCUAUCAGAUGAGCCUAGGUCGGAUUAGCUAGUUGGUGGGGUAAAGGCCUACCAAGGCGACGAUCCGUAACUGGUCUGAGAGGAUGAUCAGUCACACUGGAACUGAGACACGGUCCAGACUCCUACGGGAGGCAGCAGUGGGGAAUAUUGGACAAUGGGCGAAAGCCUGAUCCAGCCAUGCCGCGUGUGUGAAGAAGGUCUUCGGAUUGUAAAGCACUUUAAGUUGGGAGGAAGGGCAGUAAGUUAAUACCUUGCCGUUUUGACGUUACCAACAGAAUAAGCACCGGCUAACUUCGUG
Molecule: ribosomal RNA, 484 nt
Filed under: uncultured bacterium
Lineage: Bacteria
Description: partial 16S ribosomal RNA
Rfam family: Bacterial small subunit ribosomal RNA
Source: RNAcentral